Long non-coding RNA from Erpetoichthys calabaricus (reedfish), 1374 nucleotides. RefSeq lists it as uncharacterized. NCBI's taxonomy places the organism in Eukaryota, Metazoa, Chordata, Cladistia, Polypteriformes, Polypteridae. The transcript is spliced from 5 exons. The record is from RefSeq and is a predicted model, not a curated record.
AAUCUGAACGACAGUGAUCAUUUUGGCAUGUGAAACAGUGACUAUGUUGAACCAGGCGUUUUAAAAUAAAGGUUUACAAUUAUGCGAUGUUAUUUGAUGUGAAAAUCUGAACUCGAGCUCAUUAGUCAUAACUCCUCACAUGCACGUGCUGAGGCUAGAAUGGACAUGUUGGUCGCUAAAGCAAAAAUAAUUAUGGCCAUGCAUCGAGCUUGAUAGAUGGGGCAGUUUCUAUGAUUAUACUUAAAAACUUUUAAGAGUGUUGAUGUGUUUAUAUAUUCGCUUCAAAUUGUAAAGAUGUAUUAAAUUAGCGUUUAAUCAUUUCACGCAAUAUAUGCAUUUUUUUCAUUCAUCCUCGACGUUAGAGGGCGCCCUCUUAAAAAAAAAAACAAGUCACAAACACCAUAGAAGCAACACGAUGACCUUCCAGGAAUUGAUAUGGACAUAACCAUGCUUUUGACUAGUUGAAGAAUACAAACAUCUUUGCAAUAAUUAAGGCAUUAUCAGUCUCCACAAAGAGUUGAAUUGUGCCCGACAGUUGCAGAAUUUAAAGAUCGCUGGCCUGCUCUGUUUGACAUUCUCCAGAUUAAUGAAGAGUUUAGGAGAAUUACUACUCUGCACCAUGAGCCAACAUUUAUUAAGAUGUUGGAUUACUACACUUCUAAACUUUUCACAAUAUUUUCCUGCAAAGGAGGAGCACUUGGACAGAUUUCGAAGAAGAAAAUGGGUGCCAUACAGCAGACCUCACAUCAAAACAUAGAACAGACAAGAGAUGUUGUCCUCUGUUGCUUGGUCAAUUACUUGGGUGAAAAGGAGGAAGACCUCAUCCAGGAGUACAAUUAUGAAAAUGAGGAUGUGCAGCAAAGUCUACUGCAGCAGGUAAUGAAAAUUGCUGUCUGCAAGAAGGAUGACCAGGAGGACUUUAGCAUUGUCUUGGAGGGUGUGCAAGUCAUGACUGGCUUGGGAAAUCUGACUAGAGCCUGCACAAUUCUUCUUGGAUUCACGUAUGCAUUAAACCUCACCUCUCCCAAACAACUGAGGAACACGUUUGAGGCCUUUCAGAAGCUCUUCUUGGAACUGGAUGUUUGCAGGUUUUCCCCCAAAUUACAAUCUCUCAAAAACAAACUUGUGCAUUAGAUUGUGAGAGACACAUUCCAUUGUUACCAAGUUUUGGUGAAAAUGCCCAGGUUGAGGUUUGAGAUUGUUCUGCAGCUUGUUCUACAACAGUUUAUCUGGUUUGAUGCUAAACAGUUGAUUUCAAUGACAUAAAUUGUGAGUUACAAACUGUUUUACAAAUUGUUUUUGUUUUUUCUUAAAAAUGCUGUAAAUGUUAUAUACACUAUUUUACAAAGUGUUUAAUAUUUUGAUACCAGUGUA